Molecule: unclassified non-coding RNA, 289 nt
Filed under: uncultured fungus
Lineage: Eukaryota; Fungi
Description: partial contains small subunit ribosomal RNA, internal transcribed spacer 1, and 5.8S ribosomal RNA
Rfam family: Eukaryotic small subunit ribosomal RNA (bases 1-73)
Source: RNAcentral
UCAAACUUGGUCAUUUAGAGGAAGUAAAAGUCGUAACAAGGUUUCCGUAGGUGAACCUGCGGAAGGAUCAUUAAAAGAGAGGCCCUUGGGCUGUGCGCCUUGGCUGCACGCCCUCUGGGACAAUCAAGAUUCCUUUUACACCUGUGCACGUUUCAAACGCAGGGAUGCGUUUGCCUAUUUUUAUCAUAAACCCGACAUGUCUGGAAAGUCACUUCUAUGAUUUUUUUAAUCGAGUAAUACAACUUUCAACAACGGAUCUCUUGGCUCUCGCAUCGAUGAAGAACGCAGC